Molecule: long non-coding RNA, 437 nt
Filed under: Elaeis guineensis (African oil palm)
Lineage: Eukaryota; Viridiplantae; Streptophyta; Magnoliopsida; Arecales; Arecaceae
Description: long non-coding RNA (EGUI_LNC075652)
Source: RNAcentral
CCUCCUCUCCACCAAAAAUCGCCUCCUUCAAAAGGAUUUUCUGUGCUUUCUCGCUUUGCUUGGCGCGGUUGGAACGUGCCCUAGCACUUUACUGAACUUUCAAAAUCCACUUCUUUUCUCCACCAAAAUCCUUCUUCACUCUCUUGUGAUCCCUCCUCCACUCAAUUCAAGUCUUCUUGUCUGCUACUUUAGUAGAUAUGGCUCCAAAGAUGAAGCUUCCCCAAAGAAGGAAAUCAAUCCGUGAGCCUGAAGAAAUUAUCCGAAAGAAAAGGCAUGCUCAGUCUUCAACUGCUCCCACUCCAGUUUCAGUACCUACUCAAGGUCCCUCUCAAUCCUUCAUAAGCCCCAGUGUGAAUCCUCUUUCUGAUAGAAAAGUAGAAACCGAAAAAAAUAUAGAUUUUCGGUUCUUUAAGAAAGAAGGUUUUACUUUUGCUACC